Molecule: ribosomal RNA, 471 nt
Filed under: uncultured Sphingobacteriales bacterium
Lineage: Bacteria; Pseudomonadati; Bacteroidota; Sphingobacteriia; Sphingobacteriales
Description: bacterial SSU rRNA
Rfam family: Bacterial small subunit ribosomal RNA
Source: RNAcentral
GGACCGGGGGCCCGCACAAGCGGAGGAGCAUGUGGUUUAAUCGAUGAUACGCGAGGAACCUUACCGUGGGCUCGAACGUAAGAUGACUGUAGGUGAAAGCUUACAUCUCUUCGGAGCAUUUUACGAGGUGCUGCAUGGUUGUCGUCAGCUCGUGCCGUGAGGUGUCGGGUUAAGUCCCAUAACGAGCGCAACCCUACCUUUAGUUGCCAUCAGGUAAUGCUGGGGACUCUAAAGGAACUGCCUACGCAAGUAGUGAGGAAGGCGGGGAUGACGUCAAAUCAGCACGGCCCUUACGUCCAGGGCUACACACGUGCUACAAUGGCCGAUACAGAGGGCAGCUACCUGGUGACAGGAUGCAAAUCUCCAAAGUCGGUCUCAGUUCGGAUCGGAGUCUGCAACCCGGCUCCGUGAAGUUGGAUUCGCUAGUAAUCGCGCAUCAGCCAUGGCGCGGUGAAUACGUUCCCGGGCCUU